AUUGAACGCUGGCGGCAGGCCUAACACAUGCAAGUCGAGCGGAUGAAGGGAGCUUGCUCCUGGAUUCAGCGGCGGACGGGUGAGUAAUGCCUAGGAAUCUGCCUGGUAGUGGGGGAUAACGUCCGGAAACGGGCGCUAAUACCGCAUACGUCCUGAGGGAGAAAGUGGGGAAUCUUCGGACCUCACGCUAUCAGAUGAGCCUAGGUCGGAUUAGCUAGUUGGUGGGGUAAAGGCCUACCAAGGCGACGAUCCGUAACUGGUCUGAGAGGAUGAUCAGUCACACUGGAACUGAGACACGGUCCAGACUCCUACGGGAGGCAGCAGUGGGGAAUAUUGGACAAUGGGCGAAAGCCUGAUCCAGCCAUGCCGCGUGUGUGAAGAAGGUCUUCGGAUUGUAAAGCACUUUAAGUUGGGAGGAAGGGCAGUAAGUUAAUACCUUGCUGUUUUGACGUUACCAACAGAAUAAGCACCGGCUAACUUCG
This 482-nucleotide ribosomal RNA is filed under the name uncultured bacterium. RNAcentral describes it as "partial 16S ribosomal RNA". It matches the Rfam family "Bacterial small subunit ribosomal RNA", at positions 30 to 505 of the family's 1533-position model. The record is from RNAcentral.